CAGAAAGACCCUAUGAAGCUUUACUGUAACCUGAAAUUGAAAUUGGACUUUAUUCGCGCAGUAUAGGUGGGAAGCGUUGAAAAUAUUCUUGCGGGAAUAUUGGAGCUAUCAGUGAGAUACCACUCUUGUAAUGUUAGAUUUCUAACUUUGAACCAUUAUCUGGUCAGAGAACAGUUUCAGGCGGGCAGUUUGACUGGGGCGGUCGCCUCCCAAACGGUAACGGAGGCGUACAAAGGUUUCCUCUGAACGUGUAGAAAUCGUAUCUAGAGUGUAAAGGCAUAAGGAAGCUUGACUGUGAGACCUACAAGUCGAGCAGGGACGAAAGUCGGUCUUAGUGAUCUGACGGUACUGAGUGGAAAGGCCGUCACUCAACGGAUAAAAGUUACUCUAGGGAUAACAGGCUGA
Molecule: ribosomal RNA, 405 nt
Filed under: Eutreptiella sp.
Lineage: Eukaryota; Euglenozoa; Euglenophyceae; Eutreptiales; Eutreptiaceae
Description: partial large subunit ribosomal RNA
Rfam family: Bacterial large subunit ribosomal RNA
Source: RNAcentral